Molecule: ribosomal RNA, 301 nt
Filed under: uncultured bacterium
Lineage: Bacteria
Description: partial 16S ribosomal RNA
Rfam family: Bacterial small subunit ribosomal RNA
Source: RNAcentral
CAGCCGCCGCGGGAAUACGUAGGGUGCAAGCGUUAUCCGGAAUUAUUGGGCGUAAAGAGCUCGUAGGCGGUUUGUCGCGUCUGUCGUGAAAGUCCGGGGCUCAACUCCGGAUCUGCGGUGGGUACGGGCAGACUAGAGUGAUGUAGGGGAGACUGGAAUUCCUGGUGUAGCGGUGGAAUGCGCAGAUAUCAGGAGGAACACCGAUGGCGAAGGCAGGUCUCUGGGCAUUAACUGACGCUGAGGAGCGAAAGCAUGGGGAGCGAACAGGAUUAGAGACCCCUGUAGUCCCUGUCUCUUAUAC